UAUUAUAUUACACUACAAAAAAUUAUUUAUACGUGUGGUCCUGAUCAAGAUACAUUUACAUACCCUAAGGCAUUCAGACCAAGACUUAUAUCCCCUGUUGUUACAUAUACGGUUAAUAUAAAUGCACACACAGGGAUUUCUCAUUGGCUAUGAAUUUGUUAUCCAAGUUUGCGUAGUUAUGAGGUUGCAAGGGAAGUUGUGAAGGAAAGCAAAAUAUUCACUCAUGUAUGACUUAUCAAAUUAGUACCCAUUCAAAAACCUGUCUUCAUUUAGCAUGUGCUUCUGUCCUGACUUGUAAUUUGUUUGUAUGUUAAGCUUCUCAGGUGAUUCUUGGAUAUUACAGCAUUCACUAGACCAGUUAAAAAGUAAACAAGAGAAAGACCAACAGUGCUUUUGAGAUACAGGUAUUAAAGGGAGAAUGAUUUGAAAAUUAAAACAUUAAGAGAGGCACUAGGGAAGCUUAAUGUAACUUUUGAGUGUUUUGAAAACAAAAACUUUAUGAUUGCCCUGUGAAAAUCAAAUGACUUUGAAUUAGGCUAGCAUACAAUUUUUUGGAAAAAAUUUUGCCACAAAGGCAACAUUUAAUUUGCUCUUUUUGUGUUCUAAGAAUAAGCACAUAGUUUUCAUUAUAAUCUGAAUUGUAUUACAUAUAAGAUAAACUAAAACGUUUUCAAAAGAAUGUCCAAAUCAAGCUUUUUAUUCCCACUAUUUAUUGUAAAACUGGGACUCUGUAUUAAAUGGAUUUACUUUGUAUGGCCUUUUCGGGUUAUCACUUAACCUUAUUUGAAUCUUGUACUUGAAUUCUAGUUCUUACUCAUUUUAGAUGAUUUAUGAAAUCUUACUACUUUGUGAAUUCACCCAUUCUUCAUUCCCUUCGCUAUAUUGGACUUUGCUAAAUAUCUGGAAAGUGUAUCUUAUUGGCUUCAUGUAUAUGGCAUGUUUUCCUGGAAAAGUUUUAUUUAAUCUGUGUACAAUGCCUAUAGUGGGUAGAAAGCAUUGUAAAAUUAGUUUAUCUUUGCUCUGUCUAGAAGUAAAUAGAUAAGUAUGUUUUGUUCUUUUGUGAUUAGCAUGUUGGCAUAUAUGUUGAAUGCCUACUUAUAUUUCUGAAAUUAGAUUUUUCAGUUUUCCAACUUGGAAAAUCUAUAUGCAGUUAUAGGAAUCCUUUUUUGCAAAGUCAUCAUCUCAUGAUAUGAAACCAUAUUAGUAUUUUUUUAGCCCUUUAAUGAGAAGUGGUAUAAGAAAUAUUUUGACAAGGAUUAUAGCCUAGAUUUUCCCGUGUUUGCUCUUUAUGUAUAAAGAAAAAUUUGUGAGUGGAUUACUUAUUAACUAUCUGCCAUAGCCCAGUGGGGUAGACUUUGUUCAGAGAAUUGACCUUUGCUUAUAAAAGUUAAAUUUGUGGGCGGACCAUGCGGCUGGAGGUGUGACUAUCAGCCCAGGAGUGAGAGGGUGGAGGCAGCUCUUGCGAUCGAAAGGGACUUGAGACUCACCAGCCGCACACCAUGAAGGCCCUGUGGGUGCUGGGCCUCUGCCGUGUCCUGCUGACCUUCGGGUCGGUCAGAGCUGAUGAUGAAGUUUAUGUGGAUGGUACAGGAGAAGAGGAUCUGGGUAAAAGUAGAGAAGGUUCGAGGACAGAUGAUGAAGUAGUACAGAGAGAGGAAGAAGCUAUUCAGUUGAAUGAAUUAAAUGCAUCAUAAAUAAGAGUCCGAAAAGUUUGCCUUCCAAGCUGAAGUUAACAGAAUGAUGAAACUUCUCAUCAAUUCAUUGUAUGAAAAUAAAGAGAUUUUCCUGAGAGAACUGAUUCUGAGGCUUUAGGUAAGAUAAGGCUAAUAUCACUGACUGAUGAAAAUGCUCUUUCUGGAAAUGAGGAACUAACAGUCAAAAUUAAGUGUGAUAAGGUGAAGAACCUGCUGCAUGUCACAGACGCUGGUGUAGGAAUGACCAGAGAAGAGUUGAUUAAAAACUUUGGUACCAUUGCCACAUCUGGGACAAACGAGUUUUUAAACAAAAUGACUGAAGCACAGGAAGAUGGCCAGUCAACUUCCUGAAUUGAUUGGCCAGUUUGGCAUCGGUUUCUAUUCCACCUUCCUUGUAGCAGAUAAGGUUAUUGUCACUUCAGAACACAACAAUGAUACCCAGGACAUCUGGGAGUCCAACUCCAGUGAAUAUUCUGUAAUUGCUGACUCAAGAGGAGACACUCUAGGACGGGGAACGACAAUUACCCUUGUCUUGAAAGAAAAAGCAUUUGAUUACCUUGAAUUGGAUACAAUUAAAAAUCUUGUCAGAAAUAUUCACAGUUCAUAAACCUUCCUAUUUAUGUAUGGAGCAGCAAGACUGGAACUGCUGAGGAGCCCAUGAAGGAAGAAGCAGCAGCAAAAGAAGAGAAAGAAGAAUCUUAUGAUGAAGCUGUAGAAGAAGAAGAAAGAAGGAGAAGGAGAAAGGAGAAAGGAGAAAGGAAAGAAGAAGAGAAGGAGAAUGAGAAGAAGAAGAAGAAGAAAGAAGAAGAGGAGGAGAAAAGAAACCGAAGACUAAAAAAGUUGAAAAAACUGUCUGUGAAUGGGACAAUCAAACCAAUAUGGCAGAGACCAUCCAAAGAAGUAGAAGAUGAAUACAAAGCUUUCUGCAAAUCAUUUUCAAAGGAAAGUGAUGACACUGUGGCUUAUAUUCACUUUACUGCUGAAGGGGAAGUUACCUUCAAAUCAAUUUCGUUUGUACCCACAUUUGUUCCACGUGGCCUAUUUGACGCAUAUGGAUCUAAAAAGAGCAAUUACAUUAAGCUCUGUGUGCGCUGCGUAUUCAUCACAGAUGACUUCCAUGUUAUGAUGCCUAAGUACGUUAAUUUUGUCAAGGGUGUGGUGGACUCAGAUGGUCUCUCUUUGAAUGUUUCCUGCAAGACUCUUCAGCAACAUAAACUGCUUAAGGUGAUUAGGAAGAAACAUGUCUGUAAAACUCUGCGCAUGAUCAAGAAGAUUGCUGAUGAGAAAUACAAUGAUACUUUUUGGAAAGAAUUUGGUACCAACAUUAAGCUUGGCGUGAUUGAAGACCACUCGAAUCGAACACGUCUUGCUAAACUUCUUAGGUUCCAGUUUUCUCAUCAUCCAACCGACAUUGCUAGCCUACACCAGUAUGUGGAAAGAAUGAAGGAAAAACAAGACAAAAUCUACCUCAUGGCUGGGUCCAGCAGAAAAGAGGCUGAAUCUUCUCCAUUUGUUUAGUGACUUCUGAAAAAGGGCUAUGAAGUUAUUUACCUCACAGAACCUGUGGAUGAAUACUGCAUUCAGGCCCUUCCCGAAUUUGAUGGGAAGAGGUUCCAGAAUGUUACCAAGGAAGGAGUGAAGUUUGAUGAAAGUGAGAAAACUAAGUAGAGUCAUAAAGCAGUUGAGAAAGAAUUAGAGCCUCUGCUCAAUUGGAUGAAAGAUAAAGCCCUUAAGGGCAAGAUUGAAAAGGCUGUGGUAUCUCAGUGCCUGACAGAAUCUCCAUGUGCUUUGGUGGCCAGCCAGUACGGGUGGUCUGGCAACAUGGAGAGAAUCAUGAAAGCACAAGCAUACCAAACGGGCAAGGACAUCUCUACAAAUUACCAUGUGAGUCAGAAGAAAACAUUUGAAAUUAAUCCCAGACAUCCGCUGAUCAGAGACAUGCUUCAACGAAUUAAGGAAGAUGAAGAUGAUAAAACAGUUUUGGAUCUUGCUAUGGUUUUGUUUGAAGCAGUAAUGCUCCAGUCAGGAUAUCUUUUACCAGACACUAAAGCAUAUGGACAUAGAAUAGAAAGAAUGCCUCGCCUCAGUUUGAACAUUGAUCCUGAUGCAAAGAUGGAAGAACCCAAAGAAGAACCUGAGGAGACAACAGAAGACGCAGAGCAAGACAAAGACAAAGAAAUGGGUGUGGGAACAGAUGAAGAACAAGAAACAGCAAAGGAAUCUACAGCUGAAAAAGAUGAAUUGUAAAUUAUACUCUCACUGUUUGGAUCCUGUGUGGAGAGGGAAUGUGAAAUUUAAGUCAUUUCUUUUGGGAGAGACUUGUUUUUGAUGCACUCCACCAGUCCCCUUCUCCCUGCACUGUUAAAUGUGGGAUUAUGGGUUACAGGAAGAAGUGGGUUUUUUAGUUGAAUUUUUUUAACAUACCUUAUUUGUACUAUUUAACUGACUAUUCUUGAUGUAAAAUCUUGUCAUGUGUAUAAAAAUAAAAAAGAUUCC
Chlorocebus sabaeus (green monkey) is the source of this 4190-nucleotide non-coding RNA. The record is from RefSeq and is a predicted model, not a curated record. Lineage: Eukaryota; Metazoa; Chordata; Mammalia; Primates; Cercopithecidae.